Molecule: ribosomal RNA, 397 nt
Filed under: uncultured bacterium
Lineage: Bacteria
Description: partial 16S ribosomal RNA
Rfam family: Bacterial small subunit ribosomal RNA
Source: RNAcentral
AUACGUAGGGGGCGAGCGUUGUCCGGAAUGACUGGGCGUAAAGGGCGUGUAGGCGGCGGUGUAAGUCUGGAGUGAAAGUACCGCAUUCAAUGUGGGAAUUGCUUUGGAUACUGCAGUGCUAGAGUGCGGAAGAGGUAAGUGGAAUUCCCAGUGUAGCGGCGAAAUGCGUAGAGAUUGGGAGGAACACCAGUGGCGAAGGCGACUUACUGGGCCGUAACUGACGCUGAGGCGCGAAAGCGUGGGGAGCGAACAGGAUUAGAUACCCUGGUAGUCCACGCGGUAAACGGUGAAUGCUAGGUGUUGCGGGUAUCGACCCCUGCAGUGCCGGAGUAAACACAAUAAGCAUUCCGCCUGGGGAGUACGGCCGCAAGGUUGAAACUCAAAGGAAUCGACGGGG